CUGGCUCAGAUUGAACGCUGGCGGCAGGCUUAACACAUGCAAGUCGAACGGUAACAUAAAGAAGCUUGCUUCUUUGAUGACGAGUGGCGGACGGGUGAGUAAUGCUUGGGAAUCUGGCUUAUGGAGGGGGAUAACUACGGGAAACUGUAGCUAAUACCGCGUAGAAUCGGGAGAUGAAAGUGUGGGACCUUCGGGCCACAUGCCAUAGGAUGAGCCCAAGUGGGAUUAGGUAGUUGGUGAGGUAAAGGCUCACCAAGCCGACGAUCUCUAGCUGGUCUGAGAGGAUGACCAGCCACACUGGGACUGAGACACGGCCCAGACUCCUACGGGAGGCAGCAGUGGGGAAUAUUGCGCAAUGGGGGCAACCCUGACGCAGCCAUGCCGCGUGAAUGAAGAAGGCCUUCGGGUUGUAAAGUUCUUUCGGUAGCGAGGAAGGCAUUUAGUUUAAUAAACUGGAUGAUUGACGUUAACUACAGAAGAAGCACCGGCUAACUCCGUGCCAGCAGCCGCGGUAAUACGGAGGGUGCGAGCGUUAAUCGGAAUAACUGGGCGUAAAGGGCACGCAGGCGGUGACUUAAGUGAGGUGUGAAAGCCCCGGGCUUAACCUGGGAAUUGCAUUUCAUACUGGGUCGCUAGAGUACUUUAGGGAGGGGUAGAAUUCCACGUGUAGCGGUGAAAUGCGUAGAGAUGUGGAGGAAUACCGAAGGCGAAGGCAGCCCCUUGGGAAUGUACUGACGCUCAUGUGCGAAAGCGUGGGGAGCAAACAGGAUUAGAUA
This 776-nucleotide ribosomal RNA is filed under the name uncultured Pasteurellales bacterium. RNAcentral describes it as "bacterial SSU rRNA". It matches the Rfam family "Bacterial small subunit ribosomal RNA", at positions 19 to 784 of the family's 1533-position model. The record is from RNAcentral. Lineage: Bacteria; Pseudomonadati; Pseudomonadota; Gammaproteobacteria; Pasteurellales.